UACGGAGGGAGCUAGCGUUGUUCGGAAUUACUGGGCGUAAAGCGCGCGUAGGCGGCUUUGUAAGUUAGAGGUGAAAGCCCGGGGCUCAACUCCGGAACUGCCUUUAAGACUGCAUCGCUUGAAUCCGGGAGAGGUGAGUGGAAUUCCGAGUGUAGAAGUGAAAUUCGUAGAUAUUCGGAAGAACACCAGUGGCGAAGGCGGCUCACUGGACCGGCAUUGACGCUGAGGUGCGAAAGCGUGGGGAGCAAACAGG
RNAcentral lists this ribosomal RNA (253 nucleotides) under uncultured bacterium. RNAcentral's name for it is "partial 16S ribosomal RNA". It matches the Rfam family "Bacterial small subunit ribosomal RNA", at positions 524 to 776 of the family's 1533-position model. The record is from RNAcentral.